Molecule: ribosomal RNA, 393 nt
Filed under: uncultured bacterium
Lineage: Bacteria
Description: partial 16S ribosomal RNA
Rfam family: Bacterial small subunit ribosomal RNA
Source: RNAcentral
AUACGGAGGAUGCGAGCGUUAUCCGGAUUUAUUGGGUUUAAAGGGAGCGUAGGUGGGAUAUUAAGUCAGCUGUGAAAGUUUGGGGCUCAACCUUAAAAUUGCAGUUGAUACUGGUUUCCUUGAGUACGGUACAGGUGGGCGGAAUUCGUGGUGUAGCGGUGAAAUGCUUAGAUAUCACGAAGAACUCCGAUCGCGAAGGCAGCUCACCGGGCCGGAACUGACACUGAUGCUCGAAAGUGCGGGUAUCAAACAGGAUUAGAUACCCCGGUAGUCCACACAGUAAACGAUGAAUACUCGCUGUUUGCGAUAUACAGUAAGCGGCCAAGCGAAAGCAUUAAGUAUUCCACCUGGGGAGUACGCCGGCAACGGUGAAACUUAAAGGAAUUGACGGGG